This 691-nucleotide ribosomal RNA is filed under the name uncultured bacterium. RNAcentral describes it as "bacterial SSU rRNA". It matches the Rfam family "Bacterial small subunit ribosomal RNA", at positions 8 to 722 of the family's 1533-position model. The record is from RNAcentral.
AGAGUUUGAUCAUGGCUCAGGACGAACGCUGGCGGCGUGCCUAACACAUGCAAGUCGAACGGGACCCGCAAGGGUCCAGUGGCAAACGGGUGCGUAACACGUGAGGAACCUGUCCAACGGCGGGGGAUAGCCGGCCCAACGGCCGGGUAAUACCGCGUACGACCUCAGGGGGGCAUCCCCCCGGGGUGAAAGCAGCAAUGCGCCGAUGGAGGGCCUCGCGGCCUAUCAGCUAGUUGGUGAGGUAAUGGCUCACCAAGGCUACGACGGGUAGCUGGUCCGAGAGGAUGACCAGCCACAUUGGGACUGAGACACGGCCCAGACUCCUACGGGAGGCAGCAGUGGGGAAUCUUGCGCAAUGGGCGAAAGCCUGACGCAGCGACGCCGCGUGUGGGAUGAAGGUCUUCGGAUUGUAAACCACUGUCGGGAGGGACGAAGCUCUGACGGUACCUCCAAAGGAAGCACCGGCUAACUCUGUGCCAGCAGCCGCGGUAAUACAGAGGGUGCAAGCGUUGUCCGGAAUCACUGGGCGUAAAGGGCGCGUAGGCGGCCUGGUAAGUAGGGGGUGAAAUUCCGCGGCUCAACCGCAGGACUGCCUUCUAAACUGUCAGGCUCGAGCACGGUAGAGGCUGGUGGAAUUCCCGGUGUAGCGGUGGAAUGCGUAGAGAUCGGGAAGAACAUCGGUGGCGAAGGC